CUGCCGGCAGUCGGUGUGCAGGGGCUGCCGUGAGCCGAGGGAGGAGCGGAGGCAUCGCCGGGCUGCGGCUGCACGGAGGGAGAAGGCCGCGCUGAGGACGUGGUUGCCCGUCCCUCCCUUGGGGAUGCCGUCGACUGCAGCCGCCUCGCCUGUGCCUGGCCUGGCUCGCCUCGUGGCGUGGGGGCGAAAAGGGACAGGCGGCGGAGCGCUUACCGGCCGUGGACAGGAGCUGCCCUAAGGGAAGCUGGAAUGGCCAGAGAAAGGUGAAGAAGAAGAAGAAGAGAUGGAAGGCUCUCCGGCCGGCAGCUGCCUCCCGCUGCAGGCAAGAGAGCGCCUGCCUCGCCGGGCGGAGGACAGCCGAGCGACCGGAGUGACAGCAAAGGAAAGGCGGAGAGCAGGAGAAAGAAGCGUCUGCGCUGGCAAGCUCUCCCGGCAGCGCCGAGAGCCAGAGCUGCGGUGAGUCCUGGGCCCGCGGGGCCCCAUCGCCUCUCCUCUGCGUCGCGGGCCCUCCUCUGCCCCCCUCGCUUUCCCACCCCGCCGUGGUUUGCUUUCUGCUCCCCGCUAUGUUCUUUUUCCAUCUCGCUCUGACGGGCUGCCUGUCCCCACCUUUUUCAGGUCCUCGCUCUCUCUGCCCCGUAGCCCGUGGCUAUUGUUUCCUUCUCUCUCUCCCUGUCUCUCUGUCCGGCCCCCAGCCACUGUUUCUGCAUUCCUCCCCCUCGGUCCUGUAGCCCGUCGGUAUUUCUGCCGUCUCUGGCGCUCUCUGUGCGGCUCCUCGUUCCUGUUGUUCGAGGUCUUCCUUCUCGGCUCCGUAGCGAGUCGUCGUGAGUCUCUCUCUUUCUCCGUCCCUCUCGAGCCUCUUCCCUGCCCCUCGUUUUGAAGGCCCGCCUCUCUGUCCCGGCACCCGUCGCUACGGUUCCUUUUCUCCGUCUCGCUCCCCGUCCCUGUUUUUCUAAAGUCUCCCCUCUCUGCCUCCUAGCCCGUCGGUACCUUUUUCUUUCCCCGUCGCGGUUCGUCUGGCUCCCUGUCCCUCUUUCUUUCUUUCUUCCUUCCUCCCUGUCUGCCCCGCAGCCCGGCCCUUCGUUCCUUUCUCCUUCCCUCUCUGUCCCUCUCCCGGUCCCCGGCUUUAAACUCUGCUUCUCUGCCCGGUAGCUCGCCACCGUCUUACCUUUCCCCGUCUCUCUCUCUGUCCAGCUCCCUCUCUCGAAUUUUCAAUUCCUCCCUGUCACUGCAGAAGCCUGUCGGGACUUUUUCCCCUGCCCGGCUUGCCUCUCCCCGUCUCGCGAUUCCUCCCUCUCUGCCCUCUUAGCCGCGACCGUUUUUAUAUUCUCCGUCUCUCUCUCGGUCCGCCUCGAGAU
Grus americana (Whooping crane) is the source of this 1355-nucleotide long non-coding RNA. RefSeq lists it as uncharacterized. The transcript has 3 exons. The record is from RefSeq and is a predicted model, not a curated record. NCBI's taxonomy places the organism in Eukaryota, Metazoa, Chordata, Aves, Gruiformes, Gruidae.